UGGAUCCAGACUUUGAUUAUGGCUCAGGAUGAACGCUAGCUACAGGCUUAACACAUGCAAGUCGAGGGGCAGCAUGGACUCAGCUUUGCUGAGUUUGAUGGCGACCGGCGCACGGGUGAGUAACGCGUAUCCAACCUGCCCUUUACUCCGGGAUAGUCUCCUGAAAGGGAGUUUAAUACCGGAUGUGUUUGUUUUUCCGCAUGGGAGCGACAAAUAAAGAUUAAUUGGUAAAGGAUGGGGAUGCGUCCCAUUAGCUUGUUGGCGGGGUAACGGCCCACCAAGGCAACGAUGGGUAGGGGUUCUGAGAGGAGGGUCCCCCACAUUGGAACUGAGACACGGUCCAAACUCCUACGGGAGGCAGCAGUGAGGAAUAUUGGUCAAUGGGCGAGAGCCUGAACCAGCCAAGUAGCGUGAAGGACGACGGCCCUACGGGUUGUAAACUUCUUUUAUAAGGGAAUAAAGUUCGCCACGUGUGGUGUUUUGUAUGUACCUUAUGAAUAAGCAUCGGCUAAUUCCGUGCCAGCAGCCGCGGUAAUACGGAAGAUGCGAGCGUUAUCCGGAUUUAUUGGGUUUAAAGGGAGCGUAGGCGGGCUUUUAAGUCAGCGGUCAAAUGCCACGGCUCAACCGUGGCCAGCCGUUGAAACUGUAAGCCUUGAGUCUGCACAGGGCACAUGGAAUUCGUGGUGUAGCGGUGAAAUGCUUAGAUAUCACGAAGAACUCCGAUCGCGAAGGCAUUGUGCCGGGGCAGCACUGACGCUGAGGCUCGAAAGUGCGGGUAUCAAACAGGAUUAGAUACCCUGGUAGUCCGCACGGUAAACGAUGAAUGCUCGCUAUGGGCGAUAUAUUGUCCGUGGCCAAGCGAAAGCGUUAAGCAUUCCACCUGGGGAGUACGCCGGCAACGGUGCAACUCAAAGGAAUUGACGGA
RNAcentral lists this ribosomal RNA (925 nucleotides) under uncultured Bacteroidota bacterium. RNAcentral's name for it is "bacterial SSU rRNA". It matches the Rfam family "Bacterial small subunit ribosomal RNA", at positions 1 to 917 of the family's 1533-position model. Lineage: Bacteria; Pseudomonadati; Bacteroidota. The record is from RNAcentral.